GACGAACGCUGGCGGCGUGCUUAACACAUGCAAGUCGAACGGAAAGGCCCUGCUUUUGUGGGGUGCCCGAGUGGCGAACGGGUGAGUAACACGUGAGUAACCUGCCCUUGACUUUGGGAUAACUUCAGGAAACUGGGGCUAAUACCGGAUAGGAGCUCCUGCUGCAUGGUGGGGGUUGGAAAGUUUCGGCGGUUGGGGAUGGACUCGCGGCUUAUCAGCUUGUUGGUGGGGUAGUGGCUUACCAAGGCUUUGACGGGUAGCCGGCCUGAGAGGGUGACCGGCCACAUUGGGACUGAGAUACGGCCCAGACUCCUACGGGAGGCAGCAGUGGGGAAUAUUGCACAAUGGGCGGAAGCCUGAUGCAGCAACGCCGCGUGCGGGAUGACGGCCUUCGGGUUGUAAACCGCUUUCGCCUGUGACGAAGCGUGAGUGACGGUAAUGGGUAAAGAAGCACCGGCUAACUACGUGCCAGCAGCCGCGGUGAUACGUAGGGUGCGAGCGUUGUCCGGAUUUAUUGGGCGUAAAGGGCUCGUAGGUGGUUGAUCGCGUCGGAAGUGUAAUCUUGGGGCUUAACCCUGAGCGUGCUUUCGAUACGGGUUGACUUGAGGAAGGUAGGGGAGAAUGGAAUUCCUGGUGGAGCGGUGGAAUGCGCAGAUAUCAGGAGGAACACCAGUGGCGAAGGCGGUUCUCUGGGCCUCUCCUGACGCUGAGGAGCGAAAGCGUGGGGAGCGAACAGGCUUAGAUACCCUGGUAGUCCACGCUGUAAACGGUGGGUACUAGGCGUGGGGUCCAUUCCACGGGUUCCGUGCCGUAGCUAACGCUUUAAGUACCCCGCCUGGGGAGUACGGCCGCAAGGCUAAAACUCAAAGGAAUUGACGGGGCCCCGCACAAGCGGCGGAGCAUGCGGAUUAAUUCGAUGCAACGCGUAGAACCUUACCUGGGUUUGACAUGGAUCGGGAGCGCUCAGAGAUGGGUGUGCCUCUUUUGGGGUCGGUUCACAGGUGGUGCAUGGCUGUCGUCAGCUCGUGUCGUGAGAUGUUGGGUUAAGUCCCGCAACGAGCGCAACCCUUGUUCACUGUUGCCAGCACGUUAUGGUGGGGACUCAGUGGAGACCGCCGGGGUCAACUCGGAGGAAGGUGGGGAUGACGUCAAGUCAUCAUGCCCCUUAUGUCCAGGGCUUCACGCAUGCUACAAUGGCUGGUACAGAGAGUGGCGAGCCUGUGAGGGUGAGCGAAUCUCGGAAAGCCGGUCUCAGUUCGGAUUGGGGUCUGCAACUCGACCUCAUGAAGUCGGAGUCGCUAGUAAUCGCAGAUCAGCAACGCUGCGGUGAAUACGUUCCCGGG
RNAcentral lists this ribosomal RNA (1343 nucleotides) under uncultured bacterium. RNAcentral describes it as "16S ribosomal RNA". It matches the Rfam family "Bacterial small subunit ribosomal RNA", at positions 28 to 1378 of the family's 1533-position model. The record is from RNAcentral.